UCUCAUUUUUCCCGGGCUUUCGGUCGGCGUUUUCCUUUUCUCGCGGGUUUGGGCGCGCAUCGAACUCUGAAGGGUCGGGAAGGCCUGUCGUUGGAAUGUGGUUGAGUUCCAGGGAGUGUACAGGCUGGAGGAUGGGACAAGACCUAUCUCUGUAUCGAUCAAGCACGGCGUUGGUGUUCCAGCUCAUCACCAAUCCUAAGGAAUUCAAGUGCCUCCCAGGAUGAAUACAGGUUGUCUUGAUGGUGAUACAUUCAUCUGUCUUAAGAUCCCUGCUGAUCUGCUCAUGGUCAAACUCAUGGAAAGAGUUGAGAGUGGUGAGUACUUGUAACCUUGGUUAUAACUUGUCUCCAGUGCCAGUGAGGAGAGCAAGCAUCCUGUCUUAACCCCUGUCCUAGCCCCAGAGCCAGUAAUGGUGAACCCACUGGGGCUAACAGGGAGAGAGGAUGAAAACAUGUUCCGUAAGGAACUGUCUGAGGUACAGCAACUUCCAGUGGGUAGCAUUUGUUUAGCUUCCCUUGGCUUACAUAUUAGCUGGGAUCCUUUUGGUUUUUUAAGGUACUCUACUGAUUUCAUGAUCUUCUCAUUCAGGGGCACCUUGUUCCUGCAUCCUCAAAGGAGCAUCUUGUUCCUCUAUUUAAGCUUCCAGAGUUAAAAGGUUAGUUGAUUAAUGUCACCAUAAUAUAUGCCACCAAGUAAGCAGUUUCUGUGAUGAAUCAAACUAGCUCACUAUGAACUAACAAUGAAAAGAUAUGAACACCUGAGAAACUGGAGAACAGAGCAGUGGGAUACUGUCUGCAAGGAACUUAAUAUCACUUACAGUUUUGUCCUUUCCUAGGUACCUGUACCAUUUAGCGGCUUGUUCACUCAAAGGUGAGUGAUUUAUAUGUUGGCACAUACAGUGUACUGAGGGAGAAAAUGCCUUUUUAGGCAUCUACACAUGAUGACUUACAUGGAAUCUCGUUCGGCUGAUGAUUUGCUGUUGAGACUCGGAAAUCUGAAUUUUUUUUUCUUUUAAGAACUUAAGUGGGAACAAAUUUUAAUGUAGGAAGUAAGCAUUACUGACUCAUUCUUGUUUUGUUUUAGAUCCAUCUUUUCUGGAGCCUGAGGAUGAUUGGAGGUGAAAGGUGUAAGCCAUACUCUGCUCAACUCCAGUCUGAAACUAAGGUUAAAAGAACAUGUACUUAACACACGGGUAAGUAAGUAUCCAUUCACGUACUUGUGUUAAAUAUCAGACUAACUAUAUAAAUACAAUGUUCUAAGUCCGUUUUAGUAAGAACCCUAAACUGUUCUUUUUCUCUGCAGGAAUCCAACUCUUGGAGGACAUCAGAAGUGGAAUUUUCUUAUACAACCUACCUAUUCAAAUUAGCAUAUAAUCUUUCUAGCCUUUCUAAAUAAAUAAAGGGAUUUUUUUGUA
Molecule: long non-coding RNA, 1414 nt
Filed under: Sus scrofa (pig)
Lineage: Eukaryota; Metazoa; Chordata; Mammalia; Artiodactyla; Suidae
Source: RNAcentral